This is a long non-coding RNA of Glycine soja, 874 nucleotides long. RefSeq lists it as uncharacterized. Lineage: Eukaryota; Viridiplantae; Streptophyta; Magnoliopsida; Fabales; Fabaceae. The transcript has 3 exons. The record is from RefSeq and is a predicted model, not a curated record.
CUCGAAGACGACAAUCUCGUAGGGCUUUUACCAGAAUAGAAGUCUCUGGUGUUUCUGCUCAUGUUUGUUGGCAUCGUCUGAACGCGCCACCACAAACCGUGCACCGCUCGUCGUGCACUGGUGGCCUCCGCGAGGGGUUGAAGUCUUGAACCCUAAGUAGGGAAAACUGUUGAUUCUUACAGAGAGUCGUAGAUACACCUGCGAAGAAGAGGCGAAGUAAAUUUAGGAAGGUCUUGGAAAUUCGAGGGCCACACUGGCUGUGUCAAUGCGGUGGCUUGGAAUUCCAAAGGUUCGUUACUGAUAUCUGGAUCAGAUGAUCAACGGGUAUGGCACAUAUUUUAUGUCAUUUGUAGUUCUGUAGUCUCAUACACUAGAAUGGGAGAUUCUUUUUUGGAAAUAUAUGAGAAAUGAACUUUGACAUAUUUUAGGGUCCAUGAAACUAUUGAAUAUGUUUUUUCAUAUAGAAUGUUCCAUUAUAAAAUUCCCCUGUCUUCUUGAUGGGCUAAAAUGAAGUUUCUUUGUCCAUGAUUAAAUGAGAGACUUUGACAUCUCUGCCACUUAUUGUGCUUGCUUCUAGUUCUCACACAGUUGUGAUUUAUUUUCAAACCAAGUAGAGAGAAUGAUCAAGAAGCAUCAAACUACAGAGAAUAAUUCUUUUGUUUGUCUUACGUCUUGUUUUGCCUGAUAUAAUUUAUAAUUAUUGAGUCAUGACUAGUUUGAAAAGUUCAGUUCUAACUCUCAAAAGGUAGCAAACAGACUGAUAGAGUCAUGGAGCAAAUGAUUCCAGCCUCUCUGUUUUUGGUUUAUACUAACCCUCUUAGACUGCUUUAGCAGCAGAAGGCAUUGAAUUGUUUUUCUGAAAUUUUGCUUGAUA